GCGGGGUGGGGGCGGGGUGGGGGAAGGGAGUAGAAAAAGCUCAGCAGGUUCCUGCCUUUCACAGGUCAGUGGUAUCAGGGGUAGGGCUCUCAUCAUAGGGAGCAGGGCACCUGACACACAGGGCAAGACAUUCCAGGAGAGGCCCUGGCCAGGGGGCUGGAGCAGCCCCAGGGACACCAGGCACAUGGAGAAGCUGCAGCAAACGGAUGCUGUCAGCACUGCAUUUCUCCUACACGUCCUACAGGUGACCCAGGCUAUUGAGUGGUAACACCCAGACUCUGUCUCAGGCAUCUUUUCUGACUGCAGGAGCUCACUCAGCCUCAGUCAAUGACAGACAGGGCAUAGGUGAAUAAAAUCCCAGUUUCUUCAACCCGGUUGGACCUCACCUCCCUGCUUCCUAGCAGGACAGAGAGAGCUCCAGCCCAGGAGUAACUGGCUUGAUGACGCUGAUACAACCUUGGUUCAGAUGGAAGAAGAAUGGGCCACAAGUCACAGGCACAGGUGGCCCUUGACUUCCACCUGGGUGACCUUUGCCUGCAUCUGCACUGGUGUCCAUACUGCCUUCACUGCAAGAGGCUGCACCCUUGCUACCAGCUGUUCCCCUGGCAAUGCAGGCUCUCAUGGGAAGUAACCCCACUCAGCUGACUGCAGCUGCAGCUUUGGCUAUCCGGAUAGUUGAGGAAGGGGCAAUGACUUGAAUGCUGUUUGAUUCUUGUCAUAAAAAUGGGGAAGAGAGGAGAAGAGAGGAGAAAGGAAGGAGGGAAAGAGGAGAGGAAGAAAGGUCACACUAGCAAUAAGUCUCCUUAGCAAUACAACUGAGACAAUGAUGGAAAUCCCUAGAAAGGCCAGAAGGAGAGAAUCUUCCACUUUGAUCAACAUUCAGAGGACCAAAGGAAAAGAGACAAAUUAAACAACACACUCAUAACACUAAAAAUGCUUCACUCAAGAU
This 949-nucleotide long non-coding RNA is filed under the name Homo sapiens (human). RNAcentral's name for it is "HSALNT0049365". The record is from RNAcentral. Lineage: Eukaryota; Metazoa; Chordata; Mammalia; Primates; Hominidae.